This is an RNA transcript of Maniola jurtina (meadow brown), 2814 nucleotides long. RefSeq lists it as uncharacterized. The record is from RefSeq and is a predicted model, not a curated record. NCBI's taxonomy places the organism in Eukaryota, Metazoa, Arthropoda, Insecta, Lepidoptera, Nymphalidae. The transcript is spliced from 4 exons.
AACAUAAUUUUUUUUUAAUUUUUGUGCUUAAGGUAACGCGAAUAAGUAAACGAAAGACAUGCAUAAAUAAAAUAAAAUUAUAAUGAAAGUAAAAGGAUUGUUACUGUUUUUCGCAGUAAAAAUUAUUUUCUGCUUCACAACUUCUGUUAUAGCUGACAAACCCAAAGAUACAUUUAAACACUACUUUCCAGAGGUUACGUAUCCUACUUGUGUUUUUGAAGUCAGUGAACCUUUUUAUUAUAAUUCUCACACAGAUGAUGUCUUAGGACCGUUCCCUGCUGAUGUGAAAAUAUCAUACAAUUGCUUUAGUACAAGUACCAUACCUAGUAACAAAAAUACUAUAAAAAAUCUUGAAGAUGAUGUAUUGAUAGAUGUAGUAAAAUAUUGUGCUGUUGGUAAUAAUCACACUAACUCCAUGGGGACAAAAAUUGAAAAAAAUUGCGAGAAUGAUUAUGAUAAUAGUCAACAAAAUCAAACUUUAGGGGUAAUGAAUGGGGACCUUAAUGAAAAGAAAAAUGAUAAUGAAAACAAUCUAUGCCUGUUACUCGAAGAAGAUGUAUGCACUAAUAAUAAUAUGACUCGAAAUAUAAAUGAUAGCCAAAAUUAUCCUGAAACACUAGUGCAACUUAUAACAGAGAAUGAGGUUUUGAAAAAUACUAGUGAUUUACUGACAAGUGUUUCGAAUAAAAUUCUAGAUAAAUUUUCUGAUUGUAUGAAUAUAGUAAAUAAUUCAUGUUCUGAAGAAGAACAAGGAAAUAUGAAAACUUCAACAAAAGAAGAUAGAUUGAGCGACAUAAAUACAUUUAAUGAAAUGAAUGAAACUAAUUUUGAAAAUAUUUUAAACGAUUCUUCGGAAUUUUCAAUUUUGCAAUCAGAAAUGCAAGAAUUUUCUGAACCAGAUUCAAUUAAUUUCACAGAAUCAUAUCAAGAUGAGAAUUCAAUUAAUACAAUAAACGAAACAUUACUAAUUCCCGUAGAUUAUCAUAAAAUAAAUCGUCCCAUAAAUAAUACAAAAUUUAAUGAAACUAAGAAAACUUAUUUUGAAAAUAUUUUAUCUGAAUCACUGUGCGAUUACUCAAACAACUUACAAAACGAUUCGUCAGAGUUUUUGAUUUUGCAAUCAAAAAUGCAUGAAUUUUUUGAACCAGAUUCAAUUGAUAUGAUAGCGUCAUCUCUAGAAGAAUAUUUAAUAAAUAACGAAACAUCAAUCCCUGUAGAUUAUCAUAAAAUAAAUAAUCCCCUAGAAAUAAAUAAAACCAUCAAUACAGAGAUCGAAAAGCAGCUUAUCAAUAAAGAUAAUGCACUGAUUGAAGGAAAUGAUUCCUUUUUAGAGUUAAUAAUUUCACUUAAUCAUCAGUUACAAAAUGAUUUUCAAACAUUAAAAGGCAAAGAAUACGAAAAACUAGCUAUUUUUACUCAGCCUAAAGAAACGAACUCGGAUAAUAUGUUGUAAUUAUAUCAAACUUUUCUAAAUAACUAAUGAAAUUACUUAGAAAAACUGCUUAGACAUAUCUUUCUUCGAUUUAUAUUGAUAAGACUAUUUACUAAUAGCAAUUGACACAUAUAUAUCUAAAUAUCACGUUUUCUUCAAAUGUAGAUAUAAAAUGAGUACGAUAAAUUGAAUAAUACUUAUUACAUUAUGGGACUUCGAGAAAAAGUGACACUUACUUUCCUAGUGCUUGUAACUUUACAGAUGACCGUCAACUGUUUAAGAUUGCCACAAAAAUACACCCCACGGGCAAGAACUAAUGGUGCCAUACGAAAAUUUUCUUUAAAAUGUAACCCACUACAACCAACCCAAAAUUUAGAAAAUUAUAGAUGCCCAACUCAAAAAUACGGCGAAUCUAUCCGUAAAAAAUUUAACUUUCCCGAAACUGAAUAUUCUGGGAUAUCAAUAUGUUUUCCAAAUCAACACUAUCAAGAGCCUAAUAGAAAGGCUCUAAAUAGUAAAAGCUCAUUCAGCAUCCAGAAUCUGGCUUACAAGUCACACAAUGCAUUUUCAACAUACAAAAAUAAUGUCAAAAAAAGUAUAAAUUCGAAUACAAAAAAUAUGCAACGCGCACCCAUCCCUUUUCCUGAAUGUUCAUCUGCACCUAUCUAUCGGGAUAUUUGUAACUUUCCGGAUGUCGAAUACCCGCUAUGUGCUAGUGAAAUAUGGAAACCUUACUAUUGGAAUGGCUAUUUAAACAAUAAUUUAUUUUAUACCGAUACAAAAAUAAAUCUCAAUGAAGAAAAAUCUUUCAGAAAUUAUAAAGUUGAAAACAUUUGCGGAUUUAACAAAGGGUCGGAAAUGGUAACAAUGAUUGAUAAAAAUUUAAACGCGACGUUGGAACCAAAACAAUCUUUGAGUAUAAAUUCAUAUAAUAUAAAUGCAACAAACACUAAAAAGUGUGAAAAUUCAUUACAAAAUGAAGAUAAAAGUUUCAUAGUUUUGUCACGUGUAGAAGAUUGCAGCAGUAAACUAUUGCCAACCGAAGAUAGGGAGAACGAAUUUGGAUCUAAUGACGAAGACUAUACGACUGAUGAUCCUGAAUACCAAGAGAGUUCUUUCUAUGCUCAAAGUACAGUCGCACCACCAAUAUCAGCUAACAAUGAUAAAACAUGGGAAAAUACUAAAGUACUCCAAAAUUUUGUACAAAAUAUGAAUGAAUUUAGUGAUUAUUUCAUAUCAGUUUAAUAAUUGUUUUGCUAUCGGUUUUUAUUUAUUGUACCAAAUGUAAAUAUAGUUUAAAUUAUUCUGCUGUAUUAGUUCUUAAUUAAAUAGUAAUAAUAAGUAGUUACUUAGAUAGUGAUUGAAAUAUAAUAUGUUCUAAU